AGAACAUGAACGAAAGAGAUAAAUUGAGAUAAUUAGCCAGACAUAAAAAUACAACAUCAGAUUAUAGCUAAAGUAUUAGCUUAUAUGGCAAUGAAGAUAGACCACAGAGCCUUUGAGAGAGGCCACGAUAGGCCGGACAGUGAGGCAGGCCACGAUAGGCCGGACAGUGAGGCAGGCCACGAUAGGCCGGACAGUGAGGCAGGCCACGAUAGGCCGGACAGUGUGGCAGAGAGGCAGGCCACGAUAGGCCGGACAGUGAGGCACGGCCCCGGCGGGCCACAGUGGGAACGGCCCCGGCGGGCCACAGUGGGAACGGCCCCGGCGGGCCACAAAAAGAAAGCCACGAAGGCCGCAGAGAAAAGGCCUAGCUAGCCCGCAGAGGAGGAUGUCCAAAUUGACCAUAGUGAGAAAGCCAAGAGGCCGUAGAAUGAAGUGAAAUGCUAUAUGCACAGAGAGGAAGGCCAUGUAAUUAGACCACGGUGGGAACACCACGAGAUGGGUAACAGAGGGGAAGGCUACGAAAGACGGGCCACAAAAAGAAAGAACAAGUUAAGCCACAGUAAUCAGAGGUUGUUGGGAGUAAUAUGAAGAGGAAUUGUACCACCACCAUUAUUUGCAUAUAGAUUACCUUGAGGACAGCUUGAUAUACCUUAAGAUGUUUAGUAUUUCAGAACGCUACAAGAGGCCGUAGAGAGUAUAGCUGCUAAGGCCAUGACGGAAGCCUGCGAGAGGCUGUGGAAGAGUAAAUGUAAUGAAUAGGUGUAACACCACCACCACCAGUAUUUGCUUAAUUUACCUUAAACACACGCAUUACAUUACGUUGAUGGGCAAUGUACUUUUCUUUAAGCUAUGUGAUGUGAAAGCCUUGUGUAGAUGACAACGAUAGACCAUUGUGUGUGAAAAACCAUGAUAAACUGGACAUGGGGAGCAUGUGAGAAGUAGUCACCGCCAGUAGUUUGCUAAGAGUAUUAUACUGUACCUUGAGCAUUACGUGAAUAAAGUCUGAUCUUGACGGACAUCCAAUGAGGAGGAUCAUGAACAUAGCAGCCUGAAGGCAAAUUACAGGAAUUCUAAACCACCUCACUGAGAAGGUGAUUAGGUUAAUUGAUAAGAGGUAGAAUUAGGGUUCUAGCAGACAUAAGAGCAUAUACACAGAUACAAUUCUUUAGGCUAGACUCCUGCGCACUCUUGAUAAAACUCCAUCUAACUGCCAGAAACUGCAGAGCAACCUAUCCUCCCCCCCCAAAAAAAAUAGAAAAUGAGCCAGAUCAGCAUGACCAUAAAAGAGAUACUCAAUUUAAGCAAAGUCGUUGUGACAUGUGAAGGCCACAAUAGGCCAAACUUCAUAACUGUAAUGGACACUGUCCCUGAUGACCAUCAUAGCAGAGUUAUGCAAAGUGCCUCAGCAGUCUGUGUAAGGUGAAGGCA
Molecule: long non-coding RNA, 1428 nt
Organism: Cyprinus carpio carpio
Lineage: Eukaryota; Metazoa; Chordata; Actinopteri; Cypriniformes; Cyprinidae
Source: Ensembl